UGGUGGAGUGAUUUGUCUGGUUAAUUCCGUUAACGAACGAGACCUCGACCUGCUAAAUAGUUGGGCGAAUUCUUUAUGGAUUCGUACCACACUUCUUAGAGGGACUAUUGGUGUGUAGCCAGUGGAAGUUCGAGGCAAUAACA
RNAcentral lists this ribosomal RNA (143 nucleotides) under uncultured eukaryote. RNAcentral's name for it is "partial 18S ribosomal RNA". It matches the Rfam family "Eukaryotic small subunit ribosomal RNA", at positions 1299 to 1458 of the family's 1831-position model. The record is from RNAcentral.